Non-coding RNA from Dipodomys ordii (Ord's kangaroo rat), 65 nucleotides. NCBI's taxonomy places the organism in Eukaryota, Metazoa, Chordata, Mammalia, Rodentia, Heteromyidae. The record is from Rfam.
GGUGGCUUAGUGGUAGAGUGCUUGCCUUGCAUGCAUGAGGUCCUGGGUUCGAUUCCUCAGCACCA